GACGAACGCUGGCGGCGUGCUUAACACAUGCAAGUCGAACGGAAAGGCCUGCUUUCCCUUGUGGAUUGCGGGUACUCGAGUGGCGAACGGGUGAGUAACACGUGAGUGAUCUGCCCCCAACUUGGGUAUAAGCCUGGGAAACUGGGUCUAAUUCCCGAUAGGACUGCAGGGUGGUGCCUGUGGUGGAAAACGAUUUUCUAGUGGUUGGGGAUGAGCUCGCGGCCUAUCAGCUUGUUGGUGGGGUAAUGGCCUACCAAGGCGGCGACGGGUAGCCGGCCUGAGAGGGUGGACGGCCACAUUGGGACUGAGAUACGGCCCAGACUCCUACGGGAGGCAGCAGUGGGGAAUAUUGCACAAUGGGCGGAAGCCUGAUGCAGCGACGCCGCGUGGGGGAUGACGGCCUUCGGGUUGUAAACUCCUUUCGACCGCGAGGAAGCCACGUGGUUGGAAGGGUGGUGACGGUAGUGGUAGAAGAAGCACCGGCUAACUACGUG
RNAcentral lists this ribosomal RNA (494 nucleotides) under uncultured bacterium. Its description in RNAcentral is "partial 16S ribosomal RNA". It matches the Rfam family "Bacterial small subunit ribosomal RNA", at positions 28 to 507 of the family's 1533-position model. The record is from RNAcentral.